This 94-nucleotide transfer RNA is filed under the name Naumovozyma dairenensis CBS 421. It matches the Rfam family "tRNA". Rfam says of the family: Transfer RNA (tRNA) molecules are approximately 80 nucleotides in length. Their secondary structure includes four short double-helical elements and three loops (D, anti-codon, and T loops). The record is from Rfam by way of RNAcentral. Lineage: Eukaryota; Fungi; Ascomycota; Saccharomycetes; Saccharomycetales; Saccharomycetaceae.
GGGAGGUUGGCCGAGUGGUUUAAGGCGUCAGAUUUAGGUCUACCUAAACAUUCUGAUAUCUUCGGAUGCAAGGGUUCGAAUCCCUUAUCUCUCA